ACUCAGGACACUGAGGCUGCAAUGAGCCAUGCUCAUACCACUGCACUAUAGCCCAGGCAACAGAGCAAGACCCAUUUCAAAAACAAAAAAAGCAAACAAAAAAUAUUUAUGAUAUAUCUGAAAAAUUUUGAGCACUGCAAUUGAAAAUUGAUGAUAUUCAGGAAAUGGCUGGAGUGCAGCAUUGCAAUCAUAGCUCACUGUAAACUUGAACUCCUGACCUCAAGCGAUCCUCCCACCUGGGUCUCCCGAAGUUCUAGGAUUACAGAUGAGAAAAUUGAGGCUUAGAAACUGUAAGGACUUACCCAAGGUCAUGGAGCAAGG
Pan troglodytes (chimpanzee) is the source of this 321-nucleotide long non-coding RNA. RefSeq lists it as uncharacterized. Lineage: Eukaryota; Metazoa; Chordata; Mammalia; Primates; Hominidae. The record is from RefSeq and is a predicted model, not a curated record. The transcript has 3 exons.